RNAcentral lists this ribosomal RNA (497 nucleotides) under uncultured bacterium. RNAcentral's name for it is "partial 16S ribosomal RNA". It matches the Rfam family "Bacterial small subunit ribosomal RNA", at positions 28 to 507 of the family's 1533-position model. The record is from RNAcentral.
GAUGAACGCUGGCGGCGUGCCUAAUACAUGCAAGUCGAGCGAACGGACGAGAAGCUUGCUUUUCUGAUGUUAGCGGCGGACGGGUGAGUAACACGUGGAUAACCUACCUCUAAGACUGGGAUAACUUCGGGAAACCGGAGCUAAUACCGGAUAAUAUUUUGAACCGCAUGGUUCAAAAGUGAAAGACGGUCUUGCUGUCACUUAUAGAUGGAUCCGCGCUGCAUUAGCUAGUUGGUAAGGUAACGGCUUACCAAGGCAACGAUGCAUAGCCGACCUGAGAGGGUGAUCGGCCACACUGGAACUGAGACACGGUCCAGACUCCUACGGGAGGCAGCAGUAGGGAAUCUUCCGCAAUGGGCGAAAGCCUGACGGAGCAACGCCGCGUGAGUGAUGAAGGUCUUCGGAUCGUAAAACUCUGUUAUUAGGGAAGAAAAUAUGUGUAAGUAACUGUGCACAUCUUGACGGUACCUAAUCAGAAAGCCACGGCUAACUACGUG